Molecule: ribosomal RNA, 440 nt
Filed under: uncultured bacterium
Lineage: Bacteria
Description: partial 16S ribosomal RNA
Rfam family: Bacterial small subunit ribosomal RNA
Source: RNAcentral
CCUACGGGAGGCUGCAGUGGGGACUAUUGCACAAUGGGGGAAACCCUGAUGCAGCGACGCCGCGUGAGUGAAGAAGUAUUUCGGUAUUUAAAGCUCUAUCAGCAGGGAAGAAAAUGACGGUACCUGACUAAUAAGCCCCGGCUAACUACGUGCCAGCAUCCGCGGUAAGCCGUCGGGGGCAAGCGUUAUCCGGAUGUAAUGGGUGUAAAGGGAGCGUAGACGGUGAUGCAAGUCAGACGUGAAAGCCCGGGGCUCAACUCCGGGACUGCUUUUGAAACUGUGUGACUGGAGUGCAGGAGAGGUAAGCGGAAUUCCUGGCGUAGCGGUGAAAUGCGUAGAUAUCAGGAGGAACACCAGUGGCGAAGGCGGCUUACUGGACUGUAACUGACGUUGAGGCUCGAAAGCGUGGGGAGCAAACAGGAUUAGAUACCCUGGUAGUC